Molecule: ribosomal RNA, 497 nt
Filed under: uncultured bacterium
Lineage: Bacteria
Description: partial 16S ribosomal RNA
Rfam family: Bacterial small subunit ribosomal RNA
Source: RNAcentral
GAUGAACGCUGGCGGCGUGCCUAAUACAUGCAAGUCGAGCGAACGGACGAGAAGCUUGCUUCUCUGAUGUUAGCGGCGGACGGGUGAGUAACACGUGGAUAACCUACCUAUAAGACUGGGAUAACUUCGGGAAACCGGAGCUAAUACCGGAUAAUAUUUUGAACCGCAUGGUUCAAAAGUGAAAGACGGUCUUGCUGUCACUUAUAGAUGGAUCCGCGCUGCAUUAGCUAGUUGGUAAGGUAACGGCUUACCAAGGCAACGAUGCAUAGCCGACCUGAGAGGGUGAUCGGCCACACUGGAACUGAGACGCGGUCCAGACUCCUACGGGAGGCAGCAGUAGGGAAUCUUCCGCAAUGGGCGAAAGCCUGACGGAGCAACGCCGCGUGAGUGAUGAAGGUCUUCGGAUCGUAAAACUCUGUUAUUAGGGAAGAACAUAUGUGUAAGUAACUAUGCACAUCUUGACGGUACCUAAUCAGAAAGCCACGGCUAACUACGUG